Molecule: ribosomal RNA, 497 nt
Filed under: uncultured bacterium
Lineage: Bacteria
Description: partial 16S ribosomal RNA
Rfam family: Bacterial small subunit ribosomal RNA
Source: RNAcentral
GAUGAACGCUGGCGGCGUGCCUAAUACAUGCAAGUCGAGCGAACAGACGAUGAGCUUUCUCCUCUGACGUUAGCGGCUGACGGGUGAGUAACACGUGCAUCACCUUCCUAUUUUUCUUGGAUAACUUCGUCAAACCUGUCCUACUACCGCCUCAUAUAUUCUACCGCAUUGUUCAUUAGUUCUUUUCGUUUUUUCUGUCUCUUUUAGCUGUUUCCGCGUCGCCUUAGAUAGUUGGUAAGGUAACGGCUUACCAAGGCAACGAUGCGUAUCCGACCUGAGAGGGUGAUCGGCCACACUGGAACUGAGACACGGUCCAGACGCCUACGGGAGGAAGCAGUAGGGAAUAUUGGGCAAUGGGCGAAAGCCUGACGGAGCAAAGCCGCGGGAGUGAAGAAGGACUUAGGAUCGUAAAACUCUGUUAUUAGGAAAGAAAAAAAGUGGAAGAAAAUAAGGAAGUCAUGACGGUACCUAAAGAGAAAGCAACGGCUAACUACGUG